Pelobates cultripes (western spadefoot toad) is the source of this 243-nucleotide non-coding RNA. The record is from the annotation of a GenBank genome assembly. Lineage: Eukaryota; Metazoa; Chordata; Amphibia; Anura; Pelobatidae.
CGGACAUCUGGGCAUGCUGCAAGAGAGAAGCACCCCAGCAUUAAAAAGACACCUGCAAAGGGCCGACAGCACGCCGGGAACACUAACACAAAUAAAUCCGGCCUACCUGUUAGCAUAAGCCUGACUUCAGACGGUGCUAGAGCAGGACUCAGAGACUGGUGAUCCGCUUGGAUGAACAACGCAUCAUAGAGUCACCUAUCCCCUCGGGGGACCACGCCGGCUCGGGGGCCUGCCCCGCCCCCC